UACGAAGGGGGCUAGCGUUGUUCGGAAUUACUGGGCGUAAAGCGCGCGCAGGCGGUCUUCCAAGUCAGUGGUGAAAGCCCGGAGCUCAACUCCGGAACUGCCAUUGAAACUGUUGAACUUGAGGACGAGAGAGGUGAGUGGAAUUCCCAGUGUAGAGGUGAAAUUCGUAGAUAUUGGGAAGAACACCGGUGGCGAAGGCGGCUUCUUGGGCCCUACCUGACGCUGAGGCGCGAAAGCCAGGGGAGCGAACGGG
Molecule: ribosomal RNA, 253 nt
Filed under: uncultured bacterium
Lineage: Bacteria
Description: partial 16S ribosomal RNA
Rfam family: Bacterial small subunit ribosomal RNA
Source: RNAcentral